This 505-nucleotide ribosomal RNA is filed under the name uncultured bacterium. Its description in RNAcentral is "partial 16S ribosomal RNA". It matches the Rfam family "Bacterial small subunit ribosomal RNA", at positions 28 to 523 of the family's 1533-position model. The record is from RNAcentral.
GACGAACGCUGGCGGCGUGCUUAACACAUGCAAGUCGAACGAUGAAGCCGGAGCUUGCUCUGGUGAAUUAGUGGCGAACGGGUGAGUAACACGUGAGUAACCUGCCCUUGACUCUGGGAUAACUGCGGGAAACUGUAGCUAAUACCGGAUACGACCCUCGGAGGCAUCUCCUGGGGGUGGAAAGAAUUUCGGUCAAGGAAGGACUCGCGGCCCAUCAGCUAGUUGGUGGGGUAAAGGCUCACUAAGGCAACGAUGCGUAGCCGACCGGGGAGGGUGAUCGGCCACACUGGGACUGAGACACGGCCCAGACUCCUACGGGAGGCAGCAGUAGGGAAUCUUCCGCAAUGGACGAAAGUCUGACGGAGCAACGCCGCGUGAGUGAUGAAGGCUUUCGGGUCGUAAAACUCUGUUGUUAGGGAAGAACAAGUGCUAGUUGAAUAAGCUGGCACCUUGACGGUACCUAACCAGAAAGCCACGGCUAACUACGUGCCAGCCGCCGCUGUAA